Zonotrichia albicollis (white-throated sparrow) is the source of this 10594-nucleotide long non-coding RNA. RefSeq lists it as uncharacterized. NCBI's taxonomy places the organism in Eukaryota, Metazoa, Chordata, Aves, Passeriformes, Passerellidae. The record is from RefSeq and is a predicted model, not a curated record.
AAAAAAAAAAAGAAAAAAGGAAAAGCAAAACCAGCUGGCUGCUUACACAAGGCAUCCAGAACGAGACUGCCGGGACUCCAGCAUUUCCAUUCAGUGCAGCCGAGCAUGCUCCUGUGUAAAUAGUUUCCAUAUGUCAUCAUUACAAUAAAAAACAAAAAAACAAGGAAGAAAGAAAAGGAGCAUAAACUUUCCAGAGCCCAAACCUCUCCCUCUGCAAAACAAAUUCCCUGCUUAGGGGAAGGAAAAACUCUCCAUGGGCCGAGAGCAAACAAACUCCUCUCAUUCAGAGGAGCUCAUGCAGCCGUGGGGGAUCUCCAGGGCAGAGCUGAGAGGAGAAUAAGGGACAGAAAACAUCCACAGGAGGCUGGGAUAAAUCACCCUUCCCAGGCAGCAAUUAUACAUCCAACUCAAGUCACUCUGGAAUUCCUGAUUUUUGAUGUCUGCACUUCUUCAAAUAAACAGUAAUUUUUUCAAAAUUCCAACAAACUGGUAACCUCCUACAAAUUCAGAGAGUUAUAAACCAGCCCUGCAGGGCAGCUCUUCCAUUUGCCUUGGAGCUCCCCCAGCCUGGCUCUCAUUAGCCAGCUUGCCAGAUGUUCUGCCUGCCAGCCAGCACACACUUUCUAUGGCCUUGCACUGAAACAGACUGAGAUUCCCUAACUGGCUCACUGCCUGCCUCCAAAGCCUUCACUGGACUUCCCAGGGCUGUCUCCUAAAUGCUUGAGGAUGGUUUGCAUGAUAAGUCUCCAUCUUGCCCAGAUAUUGCUAUUUUAGCAAGUACACCCGUGAUGACAGAACAUAUGAAGGCAGAAGUGACUUAAAUCAGCAAAAAAUAUCCUUAUUCUGUCAUUCACACUGUUCAUGCAUCAUGUGUGGAGUCAGUGUAAGAUGCAAUAUGCAAGUUGCUCCAGUGAGUUCCAUGUGUGAGUAAUGUUUCUCUUGACAGGCAAAACCAGAAAUGCCAAGGACACACAGAUUUGGAGACAGACACAUCUUCAUCCACGUGGCCUUGCAAGGUCCCCGAUCCAUCAAAAGAGGGAAGAGGAAGGAAAGCAUCACUUCCUGCAUGGGGGAAAGGUCAAACUGUCCAGGCACAUGGGCUGGGCAGCUCCAGACACCAGUGUGUUCAGGGCUGGAUGGAGCUUGGAGCAAUCUGUUCUCCAAAAAUGUGUCUUUUCCUUCCAAUCGACAGCAUUCCAUUAUUUUACCAUUCUACCAUUCAGUUGGAGUAAUUUUUUUCAGGCUUUGCAUUCCUCACUGCCAUAACCUUCUCUAUUUCUCCAUCUUCACUGGAUCUGUAAUUCCCAAAUUCAGUCACAGAGCCCAAGCUUUUGGUUUAGAACAAACAUAACCAGGAAUCCCACAGCACUGAACAUGAGUCCAAGGAAGAAGGCAGAUCCCAGCAGGAUCAAAGGCUCUCUUGGUGCUCCUGGAUCUCCUGAGCUCACACCCAGGAGCCCAGUGCUGGCUGAGGUUUCUGGCUCUCUCAGCUGCUCCCUGAGGCUGUGGUGAGGAUGGACAAGGAGAAGGACAGCCAUCCACAAGCACUCCUCUCUCCUGGAAAGCUCUCAUCAAGUGAGCACUCACUACAGAAGGUGCAAAUCCAUAAAAAAACAUGGAAACAAGGUAGAUGCCUGCCCUUCCCCAACACAAUCUGUGCAGGCAUCUUCAGUCCCAAAGCCAAGAUUUUAGUCAAGUAUUGGAGUUGUCCCAGCACCAAUGAUGGCAUUUUCCCUCCCAAUGGCUCACAGGCCAUGCAGCUUCCCCUCCAGAGGAUAAAUCUUCCCUCUCUCUUCCAGGGAGGCUGAUAAGAAACUGCUCCUUGCAAGCACUGAGGCACAAACACACAUGGGCUUGUCUCUUCAAGGCCAGGCUCACCUAGCCCAGAGAAAAAAAGCUGCCUGGAAAGCACAGCUGGUCUGGCACUUGGCCACACAUCUCAGAGGUGAGACAGACAGACAGACAGGGAAAUCUCUGCCUUUGCUGCCUGAUUGCCAGCUCAGUGCCGUGCCAACGGGAGCAUCGCAGGGCUGGUCCCUGCUGCCCAGAACAUCUCAGUGCCUGUCCUGGUUCAGGGGACAUUGUGGGAAGGAAGAGAACAGCCAUGGGGAAGUCUAAACAAUUUGCUGUCAGUUUGUUGCCUAGGAAAAAAGGGCAUCUCCAACAGAGAGCAGUGCCAAGCCCUUCUGCUACAGGAGAAAUCAUCUCCUUCGGAAUAUUCCGAGCCAGCAUAACUGAGUCAUGCUCUUCCUUGGAGACAACAGCACAGCAGAAACAUAUGCAAAGGCCUCAGGGCUCUUUGUCUUACAGUAUUCUCACAGCACUCCCUUGCUGUGAAGCUCAACAAAUAAAGUCACUUCAGCUUCCUAUUUUACACAGGAAAGUUUUUUUAAAAAGCACGGACGUUGCCACUUCCUGUGAGCAGUGAAAGGCGACUCCAUCCUCGCCUCGACUCGAGGAUGCAGCAACACGAGCUCACAUCCUGCCUCCAGCACCACAGGGAGCUGAAUCCUCGAGAAGGAGGAGCAGAUGUCCCUCAGCAUGGGAAGAGAAGCUGCCAACUUCAGAGGAAGACACGUGUAAAGGAGCAGGGAAAAGCAGGGAAAACCCCAGCCCCCAGAGCUGGGGAGCUGUUCUCCAUUAGGAAAAAAGGCUUCUGCACAUUUAUGGAAACCACUGCUGGCAGCAACUGGAGGUUGCAUUUAAUGGCUGGAGAGGAAGGAAGGAGUUAAACCAUUGAUGCGGCAUCUGCUGAACAGCUGAUUUUCCCUCAAAUGGUCCUUGCUUCAAGUCCUACAGCCCUCACACAGAAGCACAUCUUCAGAAAAUGGACAACUUUGACUCAAAAGUCUUCCGCACACACAAAAAAAUGUCCUUUGAAUCCAGAUUUUAGAAGAGCCACUGCUGGUUUCCCAUUGUUUGCCUGGAAAUCUUGGCUGGCCUGCAAUCUCCUGCCUGGUGCAAAACACCUUCUGGAAGAAAGUCACUGUCAUGGCAAUGUACACACUGCCUCAGCUGCAGAAAUCAAAAGUCAUCUGCUGAUUUUUAAAUGCCAGCCUUUAGAAUCAGCUGUUUAAUCUCUAUUUACUGUGGGGAUGGGAGAAUAGGUCAUACAAUGACUGUGUCAUCUGGCUUUUCAGCAAAUAUAGAAUAUAUUCAGUAUUUCUUGAGCUUCCCUGUAACACUGUUGGAGUGUUAAACCCUGAACUCCUGACAAGCUGGAAUCAUUUAAUAUGAUUUUUUAUUUCUCAAGUCCUUUAGAGCACCUUUAACUCUGCUGACCACAAUUCUCUUCAGGAUUUUCCUCCCCUCCAGGUGCUAUUCCUUCAUUUGAUAUAUAUUUAUCUAAAUAUCUGUUUAUCUUUUGUGUUAGCCAGCCCAGGCAUGUGGGUACUGUGACUUUUUGCUGCCUCUCCAACAGCUUUGAAUCUUCCAUCAACAUUUCUGUUUUCUAGGCAUUUGUGCUGCCUCAAAGUAUAGAAAAUUUUGAUUUUUAAGUCUUCUCUUUCACAACCACUAGAGAUAAGGUCCUGCCACCAGCCUUGUAUUUGAAAAGAAAGGGCUUUGACUUGGUCACUUCAUCCCCCUGACCCAAAUGUCAGAAUUUUCCUCAGUGCUCCCACUUCCAGGAUUGAUCCCUUAGUCUUAAUUCUACAAGCAUUUCUUCAUUUGGUUAAUGAAGACCAGGAACAUAUUGGUGCAUUCUAGUGAAAUCCACUUUGCUUUUGUGCCAUAAACUUCCCCAGAUCUGUGGGGGAUAGUGAAAAUCCUCUCUCUCUGCAAAAACAGUGAUGGCUGGAACAAACCACAGGCAUUCCCAAGUGGCAACACAGAAACACACACACAUUAGGUGGGAAAUACAAGUGCAGCUGGGCUGUCCAGCCCCACAGAACCAGGGGGUUUAACACAGCUGUGCAGACACAAACAUCCUAAAUUUUCUUCCCUCACACACCAAGCAGGAGAAGAAAAGCCUUUUGUUCCAAACAGACAUCACCAGAAAAAGCAGCACUGGAUGCUCCAAACCCCCUCAGUGUGAUUCAAACCACAGCAGUGUCCCCUUGCCAUGCCCAGGACCUGUCCCCAAGGCCAAGGUGCUGCUGUGACCAACACCAGGUCACCCCUGGUGUGCCCAGGUGAGGCACAGGUGCCCGAGCAUCCUGCAGAACCACUCACAGAUGGCCCAAACCCCAACCCUGCUCCUGCAGCUCCCAGAAAGCAAGCAGCCAUGUGAAAAGCAGCCUUCUUCUCCACAUGCAAAAAGCAAUUAUGGUAAAGACACAGGGAGAGCCCUGCGAGGUGCAGAUCAAAAGCCAGAGACACGGGAGGCAGCAGAAGAGCCCGAUCAAAUUCACCACGCUCUCCCCAGCUUAAGGAUCAGAAAUGGAGCGUUCUGCCUCAUAAAUUCUACUUCCAGCAAAUUCAAGCCUAAAUCCCCUGAAGGCAAUAAGGAAAAGGCAAUCAACAACAACUCUAACCACUUCCCAGAUGCUCCUGUUUAGUUUAUACAGCACUUCUUACAGCAUUGAAAUGGGUAAAAUGGGAUUUCAACGCAGGGGGGCUGACGGCAGCAGGCAGGAUUCCUCAGUGAAGAUACCAAGGGCAAAGGAAGUUCUGAGAAGCAUCAUAUUGGUUAUGAUGAGUGAACUCAGCGUGCUCAGCCUUUGCUCAUUUUAAUCUGCCAGUACGCAGGCUUGGCUGAAGUGAACAUCCUGCAUCUACAGUGCCUUAAAAAUCCACAGGAACCACAAAAUGAGGGGGGAAAACGAACAAAGUGCUGCGUUCCCUGGGAAGCCAUGAAAAAACUAAUCACUGUUUGUUUCCAACUGUUGUUCCGCUUCCUGAGCCAAAUGUUUCCAAGUCAGCUGUGGUGGCUGAGGAGUGACCGGUUCGAGCUGGAAAGCUGUCAAUUGAAAAUUGCAGCUCCAACACUUUCAAACUCCUUAACAUCUUUUACAAUUCCAGGACCACCUGUUCAAAAAAAAAAAGCAGAGCCCCCUGAUGACACGACACAUGGCUUUAUCCCACAUUUUCCAAUGAAAGCAGUCAGCUCAGGGAGGAAACACCCUGCUCUUCUGCUCUCAGCCCAAAAAGAUGGGAGUUGUGCUGGAGAGGAGACACACAAUGGGCAGGGGCUCCCUCCCUCAAAGCAUCAAGGUCAUCACUCCCAUCUUCAGGGAGUGUGGAGCUUCCAGAGUCCUUGCCCCACUCUGCAGGAUCCCCCCUGGAUUUACAGUGUGAGGUGAUCUCCAUCCCCAGUGCUGCAGGAGAUGACAAAGGAGAAAGAACCAUUUGACUCCAGGAUAAUGGAACACUACCCCGAGUCUUCUCUACCUUGUAGAUGCAGUUACCAGCUCAGAUUUGAACAGCAUGGGGCAUUCAAGACAAAAAUCACUGGGUUUUUUUUCUCUUUUUUUUUCUCUCUCUGCGUGAAAGAGUCAACAGUGCAGAGAUUCUGUUUGACAGAGCAUCCCACUGUGAGACACACAACGUGUGCAUUGUGCAAACCACUCUCCUGCAGAGCUCAGAAAACAAGGAAGGCUUGGAAAAAAUGCCCACAAUGACUGCAGCCCUCGAUACCUCCUGGUGCUUCACUGUGCUUGGGGUCCUUCCCCUGCAGGCACCACAGAGCCACAGUGAGAAUGUCUCCACACAAAUGCUGCUGAGCUUUGGACAACACAGGGCUCUCUCUCAUCAAAGAAAGGCACCAGCUCUACACAAGUGUUUAAGCACAGCCCUGCCUCAAAACCUGAAUUCUCAGCACAAGUGAGAUCCCAGAGGAAGGUUCAGAGCACAAAUAUUUUUCAUUAUUUCUAACAUCAUAGCAAAAGAUCCCCAAUAUCUUCUAAAAAAGCAGCAUUUCCCCUCCUUCCUCUGAGCUUACAGAGCUCAUCACCCAGGGAAACGAAUUGUACUGAAGGAGAAAACAAUAAUCUCCUUAUGUUUUGGGUGUUCGUUUCCAUUUCCAAGAUUUUCACCCCUCACUCAUCUCACAGGCAGUUUUUGCUUCGCUUUGCUUGCUUAAAACAUUCAUUUUAAGUCAUCUAGGCCAGGAAAGGAUUAGAGGAGCCCUGGCAGAAGUUGCAGAAUGCAAGGCUGUUAGGUCAGAGAAAUGAGACUUUCAGAGGCAGAACCAACAAUCCACCACAAAACCACCACUCGUGCUUUGGAAAAAAUUCCUCUCUCUAUAAAUUUUAAGCAGGUGCAUAUUAAGAAAAAUGAAUCAUGCACGGCAAUGCAAAACAGCACCUCCUCACAAGAAAGGAAUGAAGCCUGCCUGUCCACUCCUGCACCAGGUGCAAUCAGCACUUCCCAGGUGAGAUUGUGACCCACAGGGGCAUUACCUGACUCACCCUAGGUGCAAGGAGGAGCUGCUCCCCAAAAUGAGCCCCAGCCCUGUGCCCUGGCCAUGUUUCACCUCUAAAGGCAGCAGCAGAAGCACUGCUGCUGCUGCUGGAACUAAUUAAAGGCAAAUUGGUAGAACCAGGGGCCAUGACGUGAGGAAAUAUCCUGCACAGCAUCCAAGAAAGGCACCAGAUAAUCCAAAAGCCUGGCUGUCAGAAAUCUUGGAAUCUGCCAGGUCCAAAGCAAGCUUGUUCCCUCAUCCCCUUCAUUCCUUCACCUUAAUUAGCUGCAGCAUUUCAGACCCAGGGCCUCAACCCCUCUGGAACAACCCUUGCUUCCACACAAGGAUCAAAACCUACAGAUCCUGCAGGAUUUAUUAAAUCUACCUGAAAUGCCUCUUUUCCUCCAAAGGCAGCAAAGCCACAAUGCCUCCACAAGCAGCACAGGUCCCAAGGGUUUGUGUGGUUGCAGCAUUUCCCACAGGUGGGAAAUGUGUUUCAGGUGUUUGUUCUCUGCUUCCUCAGCCCUUCAGGAAUUGUUUUACACCUGGAAACCUCACCCAUGGCAUGAUGGUGGAACAGGAUGAGUUUUGAGGCCACUCCAACCCAAACCAUUCCAGGAUUCUCUGAGAUGAUGCCAUGACCAGAUGGGCUGAGGCUGUGGACUACAUGGACAGGUUUAACCCUCUCACUGCCAACACAAAUCUGGUUCUGGAACCAGAUCCAACACAGAGGAGAUUUCUGUCACUUCAGGUUGCAUUGGCUACCAAACACAUCAAAUCCAGGUAAUUCACAUGCCUCAAAAGGAAUAUUAACUGCUCCAAAUUCUAGGUGUCUAGCUGGGGCUUAGUAAAGGAUUUUUUUAAAGACAGGUUUGGUGUCUACAACAUCCUUUAAUGCUGUAAUUAGACUUUGUGUUCAGAAGCACCCCUGAGUGUCCAGCAGGCAGUUACAAAAGGAACAGCUCUGCUGAGAGCCCCUUCCCACAUCCCACCAGGGAACUGUCCCAAGGCAAGGGCAGAGGGCCCCUUCCAGCACACCCUGGCCUUCCCUCACCCAGCACCCCUGGGCAGCCCCUCCACCCUCACCAACAGAGAAAUCUAUUUUCUUCACACCCCUUGGGCCACCUGCUUGUCCCCAGCAGUGCCAGGCAUGUAUUCACCUUCCCAAAUAAUCAACCUGCCCAAAAGGCCAGGCUGGCUCUGGUUUUCCUGACAAUUCACUUUUCAGGCAGCAGAAAGUGAGAUUGCACCUCACUCAAAGUAGUUACAAGUUCCCAUUUUCCAACAAUCCUUCUAGAAAACAUCGCUCUUGGCUGUUGCAGUUGCUCUCCCACCUCCCUAAUAAUUAGAUUUUUACCUCAAUAGCAGAUGCAGUUGCUUUCUUGUAAAAAACCCAGAGUUGAAAGAUGACUUCUUUCCCCCUGCCAUCACCCAUUGUGUGAGAAAACAGACAAUAUCCCAUUGUUCCAUGUACAACACUCUGAGCUGUACUUUCUGCUCUGAACACACUGCAACUCUACUUGAGGCUCCAGCAAUUUCCAUGCAGGAGGCAAAGGAGAAUCUUGUACCUGAUCUAAUACAGGAUAAAUCAAUGUGCACUCAUUUAUUGUUUAUAGCUCCCAUCAGCUCAAGGAGAGACACUGUCCUGGAGUUUCAAGGCUAUCCAGGCUGCCUUUGUGGAUGGAAACAGACACUGCACUUAGGAGGUGUUUUGAGAGCUCUGUUCAAACAUUUCCCAGGAGUUCAGGAGGGAUGGGAAAUCACUAAACCCUGGCAGCUUCUCAUCACUCUCAGGACAGGAUUUUGGGAAAGGCCAAGCCAGGUUCACAUCUCCCUUCUUGCCUUCUAUAGAAAUUCAGUCUCCUAUUAGUCACUGCCCUCAGGCAGGGGCUGGGGAGGUUAAUUGGAGUUUGUGUGAGAUGCUCAGAUAAGAUGUGCUGGGGAAGGGCAGCUCACAUUCAUUACUGUGCAUCCAGGUGAUGCAAGAGCUUCUCCCUGUCUCCUUCAGCUGCUGGAGCUGCAAAGAAAAAUUACCCAGCCCAGUCAGAAAACCAUCAGCACCACGGGGAGCACAUUUUUCUGGAUGUGGCCUGAAUUCCUGUCGACUUUGCAGGAUUCUGACCCUUUGUGGUGGCUGCAGAUGGGAGCUCCCUGGAAGUCCUGUAUCCCAGCACAAGCCAAGCAAGGCAGAGUUUAAUAUUCCUCCCCAUGCAAGUAUUUUCUCUCAUUAAAUGCUUAAGAGCUGGAGGAUUUGGGAGAUUAAUUUUUGCAGCUGGACAUUUUCUUUAAGAAUGCAAUUUUCCACACAAUUUUCCUCCUUUAGCUCUCUUUUAUUCUAAGCCCAAGACACUCACUUACCCAGGAGAGGACCCUCCUGCAAGGUCUGGAAAGGAAUUCACUCCAGUCCUUUCUUUUCACAUCUGCUACAGGCUUGCUUUCAGAAAACCCUGUUUUACUUAUUUCAACAGCACCAAGAAUCCACAACUACAAACUCAUUUAUCCAAAGACCUGACUGGAACAAAACCAGACCAUGGAUAGGUUCUUUUUUAAUUUAAAAGCACAAGAAGUUCCUCAAAAACCACAAGAGCUGAUCCACUGAAGCCCAGAGGCACACAGCACUCAGUGACAUGGCUGUGACAGGCUGGAGAAUGCACUGCAAUUCAGAGGGGUUUGUGCACACAAAGCAAGGGUGAGAUUUAAUUAUCAGCAGCCUCAAACGUGAUUGAACAAGGGGCAGCUACAGCCACUGUGUCUUUCCCCAGGUGUCACCUGGAAGAGGAUGGGGGGUCCUUCACUGCCUGUUCUGGGGACACAGCUCAGUGACAGUUUUGUGUUUAACCUGCCAUUGAAGCCCUUGGAGUUGAUGAUGGCCAGGCACAGUAAUGAGGGAGCUGCUCCUCCAAAUUCUGAAUAUUCAAUUAUGAGAGUUUAGGCAAAGACAGAAGGAAAGAGCCUCCUGACCUUCCCUGUCCCCAUGUCCUCACCUUCACUCUGGCAGUCUCUCUCCCCUUUGAAGCACUUCUCACACUUUUCCCCUGGAAAAUAAAAGCUUCUGGCUGAAAAGGUGACAUCCCACAGUUCUGUUAAUGCCAUUUCAGCCCUCAGCAGCCAAGAGGAGGCAGAGCAGAAGGGAGACAUUUGACUCCUCACAGCCUCCACAAGACACAACUUUGCUGCAUUUCACAGCAGAUUUGCUGUGCAGGCAAAGAGCAAAAGCUGGGCUGCACUGCUGGUUUUUAAACAAGCUUUCUUUUGCCAGUGCUGCUGCCAGUGGGCUCCCUCCCUGAUUUAAGCUUCCCGCUUCCCAGAGAUAAAGGUGCCUUUCAAGUUGUUGAUGCCAGCCUUCCCCUCCUAAUCCCUCAUCCCACCCUGACUUCAGAAGGCUCUGUAUCAUCCCCCAUUGCUUCCAGAGCAUAAGCUUUAUAUUUCUGCAGCAAAUCCAACUUUAACAGUGAUUAAAACAUACAAAUAAGAGACAUUUCAUUUGAAGGAUGCCAGGAAAUGAGUUCUCAAAAACCACACAGCGAUCCUGUAAGAAGCACAAAAUUGGUCCCCAAAGAACUUCCCUGUAUUUCAAUGUGGAGAACUUUAUUUAUUAAUACAUUCAUUCUCAUGCCUCUGCUUUAACACAGUCAUGCUGGCUUCAAGCAAUUGUUAAGCCUCACACAACUUCUUCUUUGAAGGGAUGGGAGGCGAGGAAAGAAAAGAGGGAAGAGGUAUUAAAAUUAGUCACAAGGAAUCCUAUAAAUACACCCGUGGAUGGAGGAAGAAAUCUCUCUUCUAUUUAACUUAAAAUAGAGGGCUAAACUUUAAAAGACAAACAGAUGGGAUGAAGCAAGGAUAAAACAGAGCUCAAAAAAGUCAACUGGGCAAUUUAUUCAGGGAUCUCUAUUGUGGGGUGGCAGAGGAGGAGGAGGGAGGAGGAAGAAUCUUUUUUAUCCAAAAUUAAUUCCUGGGUUGAGAAGCCAUAAGGAAUGCUUGAGGUAUUACAUCUCAGAGGCAAUAUGGCUCAGAGGUAUAAUGUGAAAAAAAGGGAUGCCUGGCCAGGAAAUGAGGCAUUUGUUCCAAAAGUUCAGCCUGUGGCUGGAUUACAAGACCUGUGUGUGUGCACCUGCAGCUGAAAGUCACAGGGAUGUGCUGGACAAAACUGCACAGAUCCAUCCACGAGGGGUAACACCAACCAGAAACUCUGUGAACACACUCAGACACAUCUGCUGCAGGGUGAGGGCUUUAAUGAAGGCACACUGAGGA